UACGAAGGGGGCUAGCGUUGCUCGGAAUUACUGGGCGUAAAGGGCGCGUAGGCGGAUACUUAAGUCGGGGGUGAAAGCCCAGGGCUCAACCCUGGAACAGCCUUCGAUACUGGGUAUCUUGAGUACGGGAGAGGUGUGUGGAACUCCGAGUGUAGAGGUGAAAUUCGUAGAUAUUCGGAAGAACACCAGUGGCGAAGGCGACACACUGGCCCGUUACUGAACGCUGAGGCGCGAAAGCGUGGGGAGCAAACAGG
Molecule: ribosomal RNA, 254 nt
Filed under: uncultured bacterium
Lineage: Bacteria
Description: partial 16S ribosomal RNA
Rfam family: Bacterial small subunit ribosomal RNA
Source: RNAcentral